RNAcentral lists this unclassified non-coding RNA (433 nucleotides) under soil metagenome. RNAcentral's name for it is "partial contains 5.8S ribosomal RNA, internal transcribed spacer 2, and large subunit ribosomal RNA". The stretch from base 1 to 120 matches the Rfam family "5.8S ribosomal RNA", at positions 35 to 154 of the family's 154-position model. The record is from RNAcentral.
GAUGAAGAACGUAGCGAAAUGCGAUACGUAAUGUGAAUUGCAGAAUUCAGUGAAUCAUCGAAUCUUUGAACGCAUAUUGCGCUCUCUGGUAUUCCGGAGAGCAUGCUUGUUUGAGUAUCAGUAAACACCUCAACUCCCCUUUCUUUUUUUGAAAUGGGAGCUGGACUUGAGUGAUCCCAACGCUUUUCUCACCGAAAAGUGGCGGGUUACUUGAAAUGCAGGUGCAGCUGGACUUUUCUCUGAGCUAAAAGCAUAUCUAUUUAGUCUGCCUAAAAAACAGAUUAUUACCUUUGCUGCAGCUAACAUAAAGGAGAUUAGUUCUUGUGCUGACUGAUGCAGGAUUCACAGAUACAGCUUCGGCUGGCCUUUGUAAACUCGAUCUCAAAUCAAGUAAGACUACCCGCUGAACUUAAGCAUAUCAAUAAGCGGAGGA